Molecule: ribosomal RNA, 497 nt
Filed under: uncultured bacterium
Lineage: Bacteria
Description: partial 16S ribosomal RNA
Rfam family: Bacterial small subunit ribosomal RNA
Source: RNAcentral
GAUGAACGCUGGCGGCGUGCCUAAUACAUGCCAGUCGAGCGAACAGACGCGGAGCUUGCUACUCUGACGUUAGAGGCGGACGGGUGAGUAAAAUGUGGUUCACCUACCUAUAAGACUACGAUAACUUCGGGAUACCGGAGCUAAAACUGGAUUAUAUAUUGAACCUCAUGGUUCAAAAGUUAUUGAUGGGUUUGCUGUCACCUCUCGAUGGAUCCGCGCCGCAUUAGCUAGUUGGUAAGGUAACGGUUUACCAAGGCACCGACGCGAAGCCGCCCUGAGAGGGUGAGCGGGCACGCGAGAACGGAGAGACAGUUCAGACUCGAACGGGGGGCAGCAGUAGGGAGGCAGCCGCAAGGGGCGAAAGCCUGACGGAGCAACGCCGCGUGAUGGAGGAAGGUCUUCGGAUCGUAAACCUCUGUUAGGAUGGAAGAACAAUUGUGUAAGUAACUAGGCACGUCGUGACGGUAGCAAAACAGAAAGCCACGGCUAACUACGUG